AUUGAACGCUGGCGGCAGGCCUAACACAUGCAAGUCGAGCGGAUGAAGGGAGCUUGCUCCUGGAUUCAGCGGCGGACGGGUGAGUAAUGCCUAGGAAUCUGCCUGGUAGUGGGGGAUAACGUCCGGAAACGGGCGCUAAUACCGCAUACGUCCUGAGGGAGAAAGUGGGGGAUCUUCGGACCUCACGCUAUCAGAUGAGCCUAGGUCGGAUUAGCUAGUUGGUGGGGUAAAGGCCUACCAAGUCGACGAUCCGUAACUGGUCUGAGAGGAUGAUCAGUCACACUGGAACUGAGACACGGUCCAUGCUCCUACGGGGGGCCGCAGUGGGGAAUAUUGGACUAUGGGCGAAAGCCUGAUCCAGCCAUGCCGCGUGUGUGAAGAAGGUCUUCGGAUUGUAAAGCACUUUAAUUUGGGAGGAAGGGCAGUAAGUUAAUACCUUGCUGUUUUGACGUUACCAACAGAAUAAGCACCGGCUAACUUCGUG
This 484-nucleotide ribosomal RNA is filed under the name uncultured bacterium. RNAcentral's name for it is "partial 16S ribosomal RNA". It matches the Rfam family "Bacterial small subunit ribosomal RNA", at positions 30 to 507 of the family's 1533-position model. The record is from RNAcentral.